Molecule: ribosomal RNA, 436 nt
Filed under: uncultured bacterium
Lineage: Bacteria
Description: bacterial SSU rRNA
Rfam family: Bacterial small subunit ribosomal RNA
Source: RNAcentral
CUUGCUCUCUGGGUGACGAGCGGCGGACGGGUGAGUAAUGUCUGGGAAACUGCCUGAUGGAGGGGGAUAACUACUGGAAACGGUAGCUAAUACCGCAUAACGUCUUCGGACCAAAGUGGGGGACCUUCGGGCCUCACGCCAUCAGAUGUGCCCAGAUGGGAUUAGCUAGUAGGUGGGGUAAUGGCUCACCUAGGCGACGAUCCCUAGCUGGUCUGAGAGGAUGACCAGCCACACUGGAACUGAGACACGGUCCAGACUCCUACGGGAGGCAGCAGUGGGGAAUAUUGCACAAUGGGCGCAAGCCUGAUGCAGCCAUGCCGCGUGUGUGAAGAAGGCCUUCGGGUUGUAAAGCACUUUCAGCGAGGAGGAAUGGUGGUGUGUUAAUAGCGCAUCACAUUGACGUUACUCGCAGAAGAAGCACCGGCUAACUCCGUGC